This 351-nucleotide ribosomal RNA is filed under the name uncultured bacterium. Its description in RNAcentral is "bacterial SSU rRNA". It matches the Rfam family "Bacterial small subunit ribosomal RNA", at positions 360 to 723 of the family's 1533-position model. The record is from RNAcentral.
AAUUUUCCGCAAUGGGCGAAAGCCUGACGGAGCAACGCCGCGUGAGGGACGAAGGCCUCUGGGCUGUAAACCUCUNUUUCUCAAGGAAGANAGAUAUGACGGUACUUGAGGAAUAAGCCACGGCUAAUUCCGUGCCAGCAGCCGCGGUAAUACGGGAGUGGCAAGCGUUAUCCGGAAUUAUUGGGCGUAAAGCGUCCGCAGGCGGCUUUUCAAGUCUGCUGUUAAAGCGUGGAGCUUAACUCCAUCAUGGCAGUGGAAACUGAAAGGCUUGAGUAUGGUAGGGGCAGAGNGGAAUUCCCGGUGUAGCGGUGAAAUGCGUAGAUAUCGGGAAGAACACCAGUGGCGAAGGCG